CUGCCAUUGAAGAGUCCCACAAUAGGACGAAACGGCCGUCUAACAG
Molecule: non-coding RNA, 46 nt
Filed under: Schistosoma mansoni
Lineage: Eukaryota; Metazoa; Platyhelminthes; Trematoda; Strigeidida; Schistosomatidae
Source: RNAcentral